Molecule: ribosomal RNA, 253 nt
Filed under: uncultured bacterium
Lineage: Bacteria
Description: partial 16S ribosomal RNA
Rfam family: Bacterial small subunit ribosomal RNA
Source: RNAcentral
GACGAACCGUGCGAACGUUGUUCGGAAUCACUGGGCUUAAAGGGCGCGUAGGCGGUCUCCCAAGUCCGGGGUGAAAUCUUUCGGCCUAACCGGAAAAGGGCCUUGGAUACUGGGGGACUCGAGGGGGGUAGGGGCAAGCGGAACUUCCGGUGGAGCGGUGAAAUGCGUUGAUAUCGGAAGGAACGCCGGCGGCGAAAGCACUCUGCUGGGCCGACACUGACACUGAGAGACGAAAGCUAGGGGAGCGAAUGGG